Molecule: ribosomal RNA, 279 nt
Filed under: uncultured bacterium
Lineage: Bacteria
Description: partial 16S ribosomal RNA
Rfam family: Bacterial small subunit ribosomal RNA
Source: RNAcentral
UGCCAGCCGCCGCGGUAAUACGUAGGUCGCAAGCGUUAUCCGGAUUCACUGGGCGUAAAGCGUCCGCAUCCGGCUUAGUAAGUCUGCUUUCAAAUACCAGGGCUCAACCUUGGAAAGGGAGCAGAUACUGCUUAGCUAGAGAAAGAUAGAGGUUAGUAGAAUUUCCGGUGGAGGGGUGAAAUCCGUUGAUAUCGGAAGGAAUACCGAAAGCGAAGGCAGCUAACUAUAUCUUUUCUGAUGGUCAGGGACGAAAGUCUGGGUAGCAAACGGGAUUAGAUA